AACGCACGAGACCUGCGGACCUGCGGAGGGAUCAUUACCGAGUGUUACAGCUCCCAAACCCACUGUGAACGUACCCAUCGUUGCUUCGGCGGGACCGCCCCGGCGCCUCCGCGCGCCGGGCACGGGCGCCCGCCGGGGGCCCGAAACUCUUGCCUCCUCGCGUGGAUUCUCUGAGUGGCACGAAAAGGGAAAAUGAAUCAAAACUUUCAGCAACGGAUCUCUAGAUCGGAAGAGCACACG
Molecule: unclassified non-coding RNA, 240 nt
Filed under: soil metagenome
Description: partial contains 5.8S ribosomal RNA, internal transcribed spacer 2, and large subunit ribosomal RNA
Source: RNAcentral